This 1719-nucleotide ribosomal RNA is filed under the name Triticum aestivum (bread wheat). RNAcentral's name for it is "partial small subunit ribosomal RNA". The record is from RNAcentral. Lineage: Eukaryota; Viridiplantae; Streptophyta; Magnoliopsida; Poales; Poaceae.
AUGUCCAAUGAGGAGGAGCUCCUGGUCCAGGAAUCCACUGCCACGGACAUCUCCGGCGCGGACCGCUCCCAUCCAACCGCCCGAUCGGCCUACUUCCUCCUACCCCGCGCGGACGCCACUCGUCCCCCCGUGCUGCCAUCCCCGCGACGCAGUGGAGGCCCCUUUCUUCAUGGCGAGAUCCGGGUGGAAUGGAGGGGCUGGCUCUCCUCCUCGAAGCUGUGGAGGUGCUGGGUGACCAAGCUUCGGCCACUGCACGAGGGCCUGUGGAAGAGAGUUGGUAUAUUUGACGCCAUCCUCUCAACCACAUGGCGGGUUCGGCGUGACGAAGAUCUGCUGCUCCAGCUCGCGGCGUUCUGGUCCAGAGAGACCGGCACGUUCGUCUUCCCGUGGGGCGAGGCCACGGUGACGCUGGAGGACGUGGCCGUGCUCGGGGGGCUACCUCUAUUGGGCAUGCCCGUGUGCGCGGCGUUGCCGGACGCGCUGCGCGGGGACGUGCACGCCCUUGAGGGCGUUCGGAGCGCUCUGAACCGGAGCAAGAGCAAGAAGCCAAACUAUUCCUCGUGGGUAAAGUACUUCCUCGAGCGGCCACCGGAAACUGAUGCAGGAGGCGACCGUGGAGACAAGGCCGCUGGAUUGCUCGAGCACGGGGCAUUCUUGGCCAUGUGGCUGUCUGAGUACGUGCUCCCGUCGCCGCCGUGUGACGUGGUUCUGGCGCGGGUGCUCCCCAUCGCCGCCCAACUGGCACGCGGCCAGCCCGUGGCUCUCGCACCUGCGGCGCUUGCUAGCAUCUACAAGUGCUUGUCCACGCUCGCCGGGUGUGCCCCGCUCCAGAUCCUCCAGCUUUGGGUCUGGGAGCGGUUCCCGGAGCUUCGCCCAGAGAAGAAGGUAUCCGCCCACAACAAUGACAACGGCGUGCCGGCCAGGGCUGCAAAGUGGCACAACGUCAGAGAGCUGCUUGACCCGAGGUACAUCCAUGCUGUGUUCAUGUCACCAGGGAGAUUUGAGUGGAUGCCUUAUGGCAGCAGCAGCUUUGGCGUGCCACCCGGCAAUGGCGGCCGUCGGGUCCAUGGCCAGGACAUAGCAAGAAGCGAGGAGCUGCUAGCCAUGGCGCUAUGCCUUCACCCUUGCGAGCUGGUGGGCAUCGAUUGCAUCGAGCAGUACUGUCCGCACCGUGUCGCGCGGCAGCUGGGCUUCGAUCAGGACGUGCCCGGGGAUGUCUGUCGUGUCAACUCGGAUCCAGUGGCCGCGUGGUCAACCUAUAAGAUAGAGGCUAGAUCCUUUGCAUUCAUCUUUCCAAAUCGCGACGCCGGCGUGACCGUUGAGUAUGCGCGGUGGUGGGAGCCAUACUCGUCCGCAUGCGCAGCUCAUGUUGCUAAUGCUGCAAGGACAAAGAAGCUGGUUCAUCCGAGUAAAAGAAUGAUGGAAGAAGCUACUGUGGUUGAUCUGCAGUCAACAUCUGAAGACAUCGUGGCCAUCAACGAUAAUGAAUCCCUCAAAGAAUCUGAAAAGGAUGUUGAGGUGGCCGCGAUGCUUACGAAAUCAUCCGAACCGGUGAACGAAAAUGUUGAGGUAGCCGAGAGAGUGGUUUGUGCUAGAACACCGUACUAUCUUAGGCCAUUUGGGCAGGCCAAAUAUGGCCAGGCGGGCCCAAGCAGGAGAAAUUCGGAUCAAGAAUUUUUUUCAGCCAAAACGGGAAGUGGGGACGAUGGAAAUGAUUAA